UGGCGCAGAGCGGGCAGGUCAUCCCCCUCCCCACCUGGCAGGAGUCAGGCUUACGCAGGCCUGUCCCCCCGACCCCCCAGCCUAGAGCGUGCCCGUGCCUGCCACACCCACCAAGGGCUAUGCUGGGCUCUUAGCAGGUGCUCAGUGAACACACACCAAUUGAGUUCCUAAGCACCGGGACGGAGAACCGGCCCCAAGAAGGCCCACCUAGCGGGAAGGCAGCCGAGCGAGGCUGGGAGAUCGGAGUCGCUCCUCUGAGUCCUUAAAUCACGACCAGUGAAUGACGGGGAGGCUCAAGGACACAGUCCACCCGAGAUGCAAAGGGGCUUUGCGCCAGGACGGCGUUUCCUCGAGUCCCCAGAUCAUCGAUUUCGUCAAAUGGCCCAUGUUGACCAAAAGGUACCUUUGGCUAAACCAUCUGCCCCAAGCAAGGCCUGGUGCCCUACUCUUUCCAUCUGGAAGUGGAUUCAAUCCCCACGACUGUCACGGGGGCAGGUGACAUGCGACCAUGUGUGGUUCACUCUCUGGACUCCACGAACCGCGGCCCACUCUGCCCGCCCAGGGCCUGUGGGUCUGGUCAUUACACCCCCACCCCCACCCGCCCCCGUCCUGGGCUCUGCCUCCCAGAGCAAUGGCCUUCCACGGCGUCUCCGCUGCCGAACCCCCUAGCGUGGGACACCCGGCCGCUGUGAGCUUCCCGGGCAGAGCCAGCUUGUCCCUUGUCAGGCCUGUUCACCGCCCCGGUUUGCAUCCAUGCCCGUAGUGUUGAAUGAAUGAAUGAGCCCUACGGGUCUCAGUUUCCCUAACUAUAAAGUGGGGGCGUUAGAUUAGCCCCAGUGGCUUCUUCUCCAGUGAGGCCUUGCCACCAGCACCCCCAGUGUCUCAUGUCCCACCUGGACCUUCCCCAAACUGUAGACCUGUUGCUUCCUCCUGGGAUUCAGAUAUUCUUCACCUCCUGACCCUCCUUGAACUCAAGAGACAGGGAGCCUCACCACCCCCCCCCCCCCCCCCCGCUAACUGGCUGAAUGCCAGAAAGUGACUCUGGGAGGAGGGUUCGAGGCCUGCCCGAGGUCACGGCAAGUCUGUGGCAUCAGAACUCGGAUCUCGU
This 1108-nucleotide long non-coding RNA is filed under the name Canis lupus familiaris (dog). RNAcentral's name for it is "lncRNA (ENSCAFG00000052700.1)". Lineage: Eukaryota; Metazoa; Chordata; Mammalia; Carnivora; Canidae. The record is from RNAcentral.